UUUGUUCCAGAAAAAUGUUUUCACGCUCCGUGUUUAAUUUUUUUUUGGAGCUUUGCUAAUAAUUGCCGUUAUUCCGGAUGGGGCAUCUUAUAACAAAUACGGAAGAACCUGUAAAGAUAUUGGCUGUCGUAGCGAUGAAAUGUGUGUGAUGGCUGAGGAUCCUUGUACUGCUUAUACAGAUAAAUGCGGACGAUAUCCAACAUGCCGGAAAAUAAGUG
Molecule: long non-coding RNA, 218 nt
Organism: Monomorium pharaonis (pharaoh ant)
Lineage: Eukaryota; Metazoa; Arthropoda; Insecta; Hymenoptera; Formicidae
Exons: 2
Source: RefSeq, a predicted model, not a curated record